RNAcentral lists this transfer RNA (87 nucleotides) under Limnobacter thiooxidans. RNAcentral's name for it is "tRNA-Ser". It matches the Rfam family "tRNA". From Rfam's summary of the family: Transfer RNA (tRNA) molecules are approximately 80 nucleotides in length. Lineage: Bacteria; Pseudomonadati; Pseudomonadota; Betaproteobacteria; Burkholderiales; Burkholderiaceae. The record is from RNAcentral.
GGAAGCUUGGGUGAGCGGUUUAAACCAGCAGUCUUGAAAACUGCCGAGGAUGUGAGUCCUCCGUGAGUUCGAAUCUCACAGCUUCCG